ACUACCCGAAUAACCAAAGCUUAAUGUGCUGAAAGAUGGACUCGCGUCUGAUUAGAUAGUUGGUGAGGUAACGGCUCACCAAGUCGACGAUCAGUAGCCGGACUGAGAGGUUGAACGGCCACAUUGGGACUGAGACACGGCCCAGACUCCUACGGGAGGCAGCAGUGGGGAAUAUUGCACAAUGGGCGAAAGCCUGAUGCAGCAACGCCGCGUGAGGGAAGACGGUUUUCGGAUUGUAAACCUCUGUCUUUGGUGAAGAUAAUGACGGUAGCCAAGGAGGAAGCCACGGCUAACUACGUG
Molecule: ribosomal RNA, 300 nt
Filed under: uncultured bacterium
Lineage: Bacteria
Description: bacterial SSU rRNA
Rfam family: Bacterial small subunit ribosomal RNA
Source: RNAcentral